CUGGCCCUCCUGCGCAUGGGCAGUCAGUGCCAGCUGGACCCCGAGUUGGAAGCUCCAGCUCCGAGCCAGGAAUCGGCCCCAAAACCUUCUCAGCUCUGUCGCCCGGACCAGCUCAGUGGCGUGGGCACUGCUCCCCCGGCUGAGAGCCCCCGGCUGUAACGCCCAGCUUCUCCUAGUGGAGUCGGGAAAAGGGAUCCUCAGUGUUGAGCGAGCUUCUAUCUCCUCCCUCAGUGUUUCUGCCGCAGAUACCCAGCUUUCCCUGCACCAUUCAUUGAAUAGACUAUUCUUUCAAUGGAGUGUUGUUGGCACCCUUGUUGAAAACUGAC
Molecule: long non-coding RNA, 326 nt
Organism: Camelus dromedarius (Arabian camel)
Lineage: Eukaryota; Metazoa; Chordata; Mammalia; Artiodactyla; Camelidae
Exons: 3
Source: RefSeq, a predicted model, not a curated record